AAUUACAAUCUGGCCCUGCCACCUCACCCAAAAUUCAAGUCGGCGCGGUAAGGUAGUCAUCGUCUAUACACGAACCCAUUCCCCCCAACACACAAUCGCACCGCCGCAAAACACAAACGCUCCAAAACAAUCAAUCAAUGGCGAGCAAUCCGAGCCGUCUGUUCUCACCAGCAAAUCUGAGCCGUCUGUUCUCAUCGGAACCAACUAAACUAGGGCUACUAACUUCCGAAAUUUCCGCCUCCGCGAGGCGAUUGAUCUCAUACACAUCUCAGAAGCUUCACGAAACGCAACAACACGAGAAGCCGGUCUCCGGAGACGGCGAUAAAAUCGUCGACGAGAAAGUGAACGACGGCGAUCGCGAAAGCGAUGAAGAAGAGGAUGAAGAUAGUUUGGAUAUAAAUAAAGCGACCGGUGAGAUCGGAGGUCCUAAAGGCCCCGAGCCUACUCGCUUCGGCGAUUGGGAAAAGAACGGACGCUGCUCUGAUUUUUAAUUUUUUUUUAAUCAGGUUCUGUGGGCUGCAGUUGUCGAAGAAGAAUUGGUUACACGACACCAGAAAGAUUAUGCAGAAGAUAUAAGGCGAUACAGACCCCUUCAUACUCUCUGAUGCCAUUGAUUUAGACAAGGGAGAUUGUAAUAACAUGCUUGUACUAGUUGAAGAUAUGAAUAAUUUGAGAUUACUUUUGGCGUUUAUAAACUUACAGGAUUAAUACGAGGUAUUCUUGAUUUAAUUUUA
This is an RNA transcript of Daucus carota subsp. sativus, 734 nucleotides long. RefSeq lists it as uncharacterized. The transcript has 2 exons. NCBI's taxonomy places the organism in Eukaryota, Viridiplantae, Streptophyta, Magnoliopsida, Apiales, Apiaceae. The record is from RefSeq and is a predicted model, not a curated record.